AGUGAACGCUGGCGGUAGGCCUAACACAUGCAAGUCGAACGGCAGCACAGUAAGAGCUUGCUCUUACGGGUGGCGAGUGGCGGACGGGUGAGGAAUACAUCGGAAUCUACUUUUUCGUGGGGGAUAACGUAGGGAAACUUACGCUAAUACCGCAUACGACCUACGGGUGAAAGCAGGGGAUCUUCGGACCUUGCGCGAUUGAAUGAGCCGAUGUCGGAUUAGCUAGUUGGCGGGGUAAAGGCCCACCAAGGCGACGAUCCGUAGCUGGUCUGAGAGGAUGAUCGGCCACACUGGAACUGAGACACGGUCCAGACUCCUACGGGAGGCAGCAGUGGGGAAUAUUGGACAAUGGGCGCAAGCCUGAUCCAGCCAUACCGCGUGGGUGAAGAAGGCCUUCGGGUUGUAAAGCCCUUUUGUUGGGAAAGAAAAGCAGCAGGUUAAUACCCCGCUGUUCUGACGGUACCCAAAGAAGAAGCACCGGCUAACUUCGUG
RNAcentral lists this ribosomal RNA (492 nucleotides) under uncultured bacterium. RNAcentral describes it as "partial 16S ribosomal RNA". It matches the Rfam family "Bacterial small subunit ribosomal RNA", at positions 29 to 507 of the family's 1533-position model. The record is from RNAcentral.